This 390-nucleotide ribosomal RNA is filed under the name Escherichia coli. RNAcentral's name for it is "partial 23S ribosomal RNA". It matches the Rfam family "Bacterial large subunit ribosomal RNA", at positions 1 to 430 of the family's 2925-position model. The record is from RNAcentral. Lineage: Bacteria; Pseudomonadati; Pseudomonadota; Gammaproteobacteria; Enterobacterales; Enterobacteriaceae.
GGUUAAGCGACUAAGCGUACACGGUGGAUGCCCUGGCAGUCAGAGGCGAUGAAGGACGUGCUAAUCUGCGAUAAGCGUCGGUGAGGUGAUAUGAACCGUUAUAACCGGCGAUUUCCGAAUGGGGAAACCCAGUGUGUUUCGACACACUAUCAUUAACUGAAUCCAUAGGUUAAUGAGGCGAACCGGGGGAACUGAAACAUCUAAGUACCCCGAGGAAAAGAAAUCAACCGAGAUUCCCCCAGUAGCGGCGAGCGAACGGGGAGGAGCCCAGAGCCUGAAUCAGUGUGUGUGUUAGUGGAAGCGUCUGGAAAGGCGCGCGAUACAGGGUGACAGCCCCGUACACAAAAAUGCACAUAUUGUGAGCUCGAUGAGUAGGGCGGGACACGUGGU